RNAcentral lists this ribosomal RNA (458 nucleotides) under uncultured bacterium. Its description in RNAcentral is "partial 16S ribosomal RNA". It matches the Rfam family "Bacterial small subunit ribosomal RNA", at positions 338 to 795 of the family's 1533-position model. The record is from RNAcentral.
CCUACGGGUGGCAGCAGUGGGGAAUAUUGCACAAUGGGGGAAACCCUGAUGCAGCGACGCCGCGUGAGUGAAGAAGUAAUUCGUUACGUAAAGCUCUAUCAGCAGGGAAGAAAUACUUACCUUACGGUCAGCAGACGGUACCUGAGUAAGAAGCCCCGGCCAACUCCGUGCCAGCAGCCGCGGUAAUACGUAGGGGGCAAGCGUUAUCCGGAUUUACUGGGGGUAAAGGGAGAGUAGACGGUGCGCCAAGUCUGGAGUGAAAUGCCGCGGCUUAACUGCGGAACUGCUUUGGAAACUGGCGAACUAGAGUGCGGGAGGGGUAAGCGGAAUUCAUGGUGUAGCGGUGAAAUGCGUAGAGAUUAGGAGGAACACCGGUGGCGAAGGCGGCUUACUGGACCGUAACUGACGUUGAGGCUCGAAAGCGUGGGGAGCAAACAGGAUUAGAUACCCGAGUAGUC